AUUGAACGCUGGCGGCAGGCCUAACACAUGCAAGUCGAGCGGAUGAAGGGAGCUUGCUCCUGGAUUCAGCGGCGGACGGGUGAGUAAUGCCUAGGAAUCUGCCUGGUAGUGGGGGAUAACGUCCGGAAACGGGCGCUAAUACCGCAUACGUCCUGAGGGAGAAAGUGGGGGAUCUUCGGACCUCACGCUAUCAGAUGAGCCUAGGUCGGAUUAGCUAGUUGGUGGGGUAAAGGCCUACCAAGGCGACGAUCCGUAACUGGUCUGAGAGGAUGAUCAGUCACACUGGAACUGAGACACGGUCCAGAGGCCUAAGGGAGGCAGCAGUGGGGAAUAUUGGACAAUGGGCGAAAGCCUGAUCCAGCCAUGCCGCGUGUGUGAAGAAGGUCUUCGGAUUGUAAAGCACUUUAAGUUGGGAGGAAGGGCAGUAAGUUAAUACCUUGCUGUUUUGACGUUACCAACAGAAUAAGCACCGGCUAACUUCGUG
RNAcentral lists this ribosomal RNA (484 nucleotides) under uncultured bacterium. RNAcentral describes it as "partial 16S ribosomal RNA". It matches the Rfam family "Bacterial small subunit ribosomal RNA", at positions 30 to 507 of the family's 1533-position model. The record is from RNAcentral.